Molecule: long non-coding RNA, 902 nt
Organism: Nerophis ophidion (straightnose pipefish)
Lineage: Eukaryota; Metazoa; Chordata; Actinopteri; Syngnathiformes; Syngnathidae
Exons: 5
Source: RefSeq, a predicted model, not a curated record
CAUUAAUUAGUUCCACAUCAUUGUACUUUGUAGGUUGUUUUUGUUUUUGUUUGUUUCCUGCCUCCUGGGACUAUUACAUCAGUUUUACUUGCGUUUUAGGUGCUCAACAUACAAACUAAACAAUGGUUCCUCCAAGAAGUGUCUUUCGGGCGUCUAUUUCGCCAUUUCGGAGACGUGAAAGUCGACCGGACUCUCGGUGCUUGGCUGCAUUUGUCUACUAACAGGUGUCUUGAGGCCAGUGUCUCUGAGGGAAGUCGACGGCAGAUACAAGGACGGCGCAAACUCCACAGAUCUCCGGUAAAUACAGAACUCCACUGUGUAGGACUCAAAUGCGUUGGGUGGAACCUGGAGAGAUCGGCAUGAAUAUUCUGCCUGGAACAUAUUUUCCUGCCUGUGCGGAGAGACUCUGCUGAGAGUCACUGGAGGAGAGAGAAAAGAAAAUUGUACAGGUGGAUAAAGAGCUGUUUUCCUGAAAAAAUGUAUACAAAUUAGAUAUAUUUCAGGACUGCAAUCUGUUUGUGGCGUGAUGUGUGGGUCUCAAUGUCUCAUUCGCAUAAAGUGUGUUAGUGUAUUUGUAAUAGACACUGAAAGAAAGAGGAAUCAUGUCACGAGAGAUGAAGUCGUGUAAAAAUACAAAAAAAAAAAAUCUUAGGUAGCCUCUAUUUGGCUUUUUGUGCAUUUUCAUGACUAUUUACAUUAUAGAUUGUCACUGAAGGCACCAAAACGAUGAAUGAACACAUCUGGAGUUAUGUACUUAACAAAAGAAGGUGGAAUAACUGAAAACAUGUUUUAUAUUCUAGUUUCUACAAAAUAGCCGCCCUUUGUUGCUCUGAUUACUGUUUUGUACACUCUUGGCAUUUUCUCGAUGAGCUUUAAGAGGUGGUCACCUAAAAUGGUUUUCA